This 253-nucleotide ribosomal RNA is filed under the name uncultured bacterium. RNAcentral describes it as "partial 16S ribosomal RNA". It matches the Rfam family "Bacterial small subunit ribosomal RNA", at positions 524 to 776 of the family's 1533-position model. The record is from RNAcentral.
UACGGAGGGUGCGAGCGUUGUCCGGAAUCACUGGGCGUAAAGGGCGCGUAGGCGGCCGGCCAAGCGUGCGGUGAAAGUCCGGGGCUCAACCCCGGAUCUGCCGUGCGGACUGGUUUGCUAGAGCACUGUAGAGGCGAGUGGAAUUCCGGGUGUAGCGGUGGAAUGCGUAGAGAUCCGGAAGAACACCGGUGGCGAAGGCGGCUCGCUGGGCAGUGGCUGACGCUGAGGCGCGACAGCGUGGGGAGCAAACAGG